UUGACGUGUUGUGAUAGAAUUAGGAUUU
This 28-nucleotide small RNA is filed under the name Bombyx mori (domestic silkworm). RNAcentral's name for it is "ovarian small RNA-37699". The record is from RNAcentral. Lineage: Eukaryota; Metazoa; Arthropoda; Insecta; Lepidoptera; Bombycidae.